This 416-nucleotide ribosomal RNA is filed under the name uncultured eukaryote. Its description in RNAcentral is "SSU rRNA". It matches the Rfam family "Eukaryotic small subunit ribosomal RNA", at positions 567 to 990 of the family's 1831-position model. The record is from RNAcentral.
CCAGCAGCUGCGGUAAUUCCAGCUCCAAUAGCGUAUAUUUAAGUUGUUGCAGUUAAAAAGCUCGUAGUUGGAUUUCGGGUGGGUUCUAGCGGUCCGCCUAUGGUGAGUACUGCUAUGGCCUUCCUUUCUGUCAUAAACGGGCUUCUGGUCUUAACUGUCCGGGACUCGGGUGUGACGUGGUUACUUUGAGUAAAUUAGAGUGUUCAAAGCAGGCUUACGCCCUGAAUACUUUAGCAUGGAAUAACACGAUAGGACUCUGCCCUAUCCUGUUGGCCUGUAGGAGUGGAGUAAUGAUUAAGAGGGACAGUCGGGGGCAUUCGUAUUUCAUUGUCAGAGGUGAAAUUCUUGGAUUUAUGAAAGACGAACUACUGCGAAAGCAUUUGCCAAGGAUGUUUUCAUUAAUCAAGAACGAAAGU